AUCGCUUCUCGGCCUUUUGGCUAAGAUCAAGUGUAAAACAUUUUUAACUAAAAGUGAAAAUACAACAUAA
Molecule: small RNA, 70 nt
Filed under: Marmota monax (woodchuck)
Lineage: Eukaryota; Metazoa; Chordata; Mammalia; Rodentia; Sciuridae
Source: RNAcentral